RNAcentral lists this long non-coding RNA (274 nucleotides) under Brassica rapa (field mustard). RNAcentral describes it as "long non-coding RNA (BRAP_LNC002961)". Lineage: Eukaryota; Viridiplantae; Streptophyta; Magnoliopsida; Brassicales; Brassicaceae. The record is from RNAcentral.
AAAAAAAAAAGUUGAACAUUCAAGAUUAGUGAUGGAGCGGGUCGGCAAACCAAAUUGUAUACCGAGAGUUUUUUUUUCUCCAGAUGACAUACAUAGACGCUUGAACAGCGAGCUUAUAAGAAUCAAGACAAUGUUUGGCUCUCUUGUAGGGUCUUAAUCAUCUGAUGCUAUUCUCAAACUUAGUAGGAGGCAAGAGAUAUGCUUUGUUGGUAAAGAAAAGACCAUACCUGUUUUGAAGAAGGGCAAUCAGAGAAAAUAUGUUUCUCAUUUCAGC